GCCGUAUGAGCCAUCAGGCGUUGCCAAAUUUUCUUCGGUGCCUAAAUCACGAAUUUUUGGGAAGAUCUUUAGAUAAUUUACUUCCAAUUUUUCGGACAAUUUUGUACGGAAUUUAAUCUAAAAUAUCUGAAAAUUUCAAGGGAGAAUAUGCUUACAAGGAAACUAACUAAACAAAGAAUUGGAGUGCAUUUUGCAAUUUGGAACUAUAAACUCUGGUCCGGUUUAAAAGAACGUAUGUGCUAUUGGUUUUCUUACGCAAAUAAGUGUUUUUUCAGAUGAGCCAGAAUUUAUAGUUCCAAAUUGCAAAAUGCAGUCCAAUGAGGUCUCUGGUAAUUUGCAGCAUGCGUCACUGGUAAACUUUGGGCGAGGAGAAAUUCGAAGUCCACAAAAAAGGUGCAGUAUUUUAAAUGUGACCUUAAAAAAUCAUAUUUUAUAUUGAGUCUUAUGAAGGAUCAGGUAUAUUUUUUCCCUCGUUGCCAAAAUUUCAAGGGAGAAUAUGCUUACAAGGAAACUAACUAAACAAAGAAUUGGACUGCAUUUUGCAAUUUGGAACUAUAAAUUCUGGUCCGGUUUAAAGGAACGUAUGUGCUAUUGGUUUUCUUACGCUAAUAAGUGUUUUUUCAGAUGAGCCAGAAUUUAUAGUUCCAAAUUGCAAAAUGCAGUCCAAUGAGGUCUCUGGUAAUUUGCAGGAUGCGUCACUGGUAAACUUUGGGCGAAGAGAAAUUCGAAGUCCACAAAAAAGAUUCUUGCAGCUACAAUUCGUCAGCUUCUUUCAAGGGGCGAGCUUCUUGUAUUCAAAAUACGGGGUAUUUUUAUGAUUUGUGAAAAAGUGUGGAACUUUUGUCCAUGGAAAUGUAAAAUCCGGAAUGAGGCUAAUCUAUAAAAACAGCAAGAUUUUGUAAACGAUGUUUGAUUAUUUUUAGUUUGUAAGAUUUCUCUCCAAUUUUAUUUCCCCUAGUUUUGUAGUAAUAUACAUGCGAGGGUUAGUGGCGCAAAAGCCCAGUUAAAAUGGCUCAUUAUAACUUAUGAUAAUCAUUAAAUUUUAAAUGUCUUCAAAAUUAUAUUGCUCGAACUCUCAACAUGCAGUCUCUUGAAUGUAGGCAAGAGUUUCACCGUUAUCUCCCUCAAGAAUAGCGAGCUCCUGUCGAAAAGAAGCAACAAACAUACGUAACAGGUGUGGUAUCAAGGGGUUUUG
Molecule: long non-coding RNA, 1195 nt
Filed under: Bemisia tabaci
Lineage: Eukaryota; Metazoa; Arthropoda; Insecta; Hemiptera; Aleyrodidae
Description: lncRNA ENSSSA1UGG012439
Source: RNAcentral